Molecule: ribosomal RNA, 506 nt
Filed under: uncultured bacterium
Lineage: Bacteria
Description: partial 16S ribosomal RNA
Rfam family: Bacterial small subunit ribosomal RNA
Source: RNAcentral
AGUGAACGCUGGCGGUAGGCCUAACACAUGCAAGUCGAACGGCAGCACAGGAGAGCUUGCUCUCUGGGUGGCGAGUGGCGGACGGGUGAGGAAUACGUCGGAAUCUACUUUUUCGUGGGGGAUAACGUAGGGAAACUUACGCUAAUACCGCAUACGACCUACGGGUGAAAGCAGGGGACAUUCGGGCCUUGCGCGAUUGAAUGAGCCGAUGUCGGAUUAGCUAGUUGGCGGGGUAAAGGCCCACCAAGGCGACGAUCCGUAGCUGGUCUGAGAGGAUGAUCAGCCACACUGGAACUGAGACACGGGCCAGACUCCUACGGGAGGCAGCAGUGGGGAAUAUUGGACAAUGGGCGCAAGCCUGAUCCAGCCAUACCGCGUGGGUGAAGAAGGCCUUCGGGUUGUAAAGCCCUUUUGUUGGGAAAGAAAUCCAGCUGGCUAAUACCCGGUUGGGAUGACGGUACCCAAAGAAUAAGCACCGGCUAACUUCGUGCCAGCCGCCGCCGUAA